This 468-nucleotide ribosomal RNA is filed under the name uncultured bacterium. RNAcentral describes it as "partial 16S ribosomal RNA". It matches the Rfam family "Bacterial small subunit ribosomal RNA", at positions 28 to 507 of the family's 1533-position model. The record is from RNAcentral.
GACGAACGCUGGCGGCGUGCUUAACACAUGCCAGUCGAACGGAAAGGCCCUGCUUUUGUGGGGUGCUCGAGUGGCGAACGGGUGAGUAACACGUGAGUAACCUGCCCUUGACUUUGGGAUAACUUCAGGAAACUGGGGCUAAUACCGGAUAGGAUCUCCUGCUGCAUGGUGGGGGUUGGAAAGUUUCGGCGUUUGGGGAUGGACUCGCGGCUUAUGAGCUUGUUGGUGGGGUAGUGGCUGACCAAGGCUUUGACGGAUCGCCGGCCUGAGAGGGUGGCCGGCCACAUUGGGACUGAGAUACGGCGCAGACGCGUACGGGAGGCAGCAGUGGGGAAUAUGGCACAAUGGGCGGAAGCCUGUUGCAGCAACGCCGGGGGCGGGAUGACGGUCUUCGGGUUGUAAACCGCUUUCGCCUGUGACGAAGCGUGAGUGACGGUAAUGGGUAAAGAAGCACCGGCUAACUACGUG